AGACUAGUUGUUUGCAGGGACUGCUGUGCAAUCGGAUGUAGGCAGGCAACAACAUUGAGGAGAUCAUCAACAACAUCAGGCUGCAAACCGUAGCCUCUGAACUCUGCACAAAAGGAAGUUGCGAUGUUAACAGCAGACGCACAAUUGCUCUGCAGGCACUUCCCAUCUUCCUGCGUGAAGAUGCUGCUGGAUUUUUUAAGACCUGGAAUGCAGAAGACAUUGACCUGCCAGACCUCUCGGAUACAACUGUAGCUGUUCUCACUGUCUCGAAUGAUACAGUCUCCCUUGUGAAGUUUGGUCCUGCAAUACAUUCUAUAGUUCUUGAGGGAGAGAUUGUGUGUUUGGCUUGAGGUCCCAGAGUUUCGUACGGAAAUGCUUUGGUCUGCCUUGAAGUCACUGGGAACUAAAAGAUCUUUUACGGUUUUAUUUGCUGAAUAAAUAAAACCGUAUUUAUUCAGCAUUUUUAUUGAAAAUGUGGUUGUUAUUUAUUUUAUUUUCUGUAUUAACCCCAUUGCU
Long non-coding RNA from Cyprinodon tularosa, 516 nucleotides. RefSeq lists it as uncharacterized. The record is from RefSeq and is a predicted model, not a curated record. NCBI's taxonomy places the organism in Eukaryota, Metazoa, Chordata, Actinopteri, Cyprinodontiformes, Cyprinodontidae. The transcript has 4 exons.